CCUACGGGAGGCAGCAGUAGGGAAUUUUGCGCAAUGGGCGAAAGCCUGACGCAGCAACGCCGCGUGAUCGAGACGCCCUUCGGGGUGUAAAGAUCUGUCAGUGGGGACGAAACUUGACGGUACCCACAGAGGAAUCACCGGCUAACCCCGUGCCAGCAGCCGCGGUAAUACGGGGGGUGCAAGCGGUGUCCGGGAUCAUUGGGCGUAUAGGGAGCGUAGGCGGGAGCACAAGUCUGGAGUGAAAUGCCUGGGCUUAACCCCGGAACUGCUUUGGAAACUGUGCAGCUAGAGUGCAGGAGAGGUAAGUGGAAUUCCUAGUGUAGCGGUGAAAUGCGUAGAUAUUAGGCGGAACACCAGUGGCGAAGGCGGCUUACUGGACUGUAACUGACGUUGAGGCUCGAAAGCGUGGGGAGCAAACAGGAUUAGAUACCCUUGUAGUC
RNAcentral lists this ribosomal RNA (440 nucleotides) under uncultured bacterium. RNAcentral's name for it is "partial 16S ribosomal RNA". It matches the Rfam family "Bacterial small subunit ribosomal RNA", at positions 338 to 795 of the family's 1533-position model. The record is from RNAcentral.